This 377-nucleotide RNase P RNA is filed under the name Rhodovulum sp. RNAcentral's name for it is "RNase P RNA component class A". It matches the Rfam family "Bacterial RNase P class A". From Rfam's summary of the family: Ribonuclease P (RNase P) is a ubiquitous endoribonuclease, found in archaea, bacteria and eukarya as well as chloroplasts and mitochondria. Its best characterised activity is the generation of mature 5'-ends of tRNAs by cleaving the 5'-leader elements of precursor-tRNAs. RNAcentral also lists the same sequence under 1 other name. Lineage: Bacteria; Pseudomonadati; Pseudomonadota; Alphaproteobacteria; Rhodobacterales; Paracoccaceae. The record is from RNAcentral.
GCGGAUGGCCGGACGGCCGCGAAGGCGACUUCGAGGAAAGUCCGGACUCCAGGGAGAAAUGGCGGCGGGUAACGCCCGCCCGGGGCAACCCGAGGGAAAGCGCCACAGAAAUCAGACCGCCCGCGGCUCCGGUCGCGGGCAAGGGUGAAACGGUGGGGUAAGAGCCCACCGCGCUGCCGGCAACGGGAGCGGCACGGCAAGCCCCGCCAGGAGCAAGGCCAAAUAGGGAUCGCGCGGGGCUCCGGCCCCAGGGCCUCUCCCGCCCGAGCGGUCCGGGUUGGCUGCUCGAGCCUGCCGGCGACGGCAGGCCCAGACGAAUGGCCGUCGGCGCCCUGCAAAGGGCGUCACAGAAUCCGGCUUACAGGCCAUCCGCGCGC